CUCCAAUCCUGGAAAGGUUAGUGACAAGAAUACCUGAAGGAAUAUUUUCACAAUUAUCGUUAUACGCUCAAUGCACAAGGCAAUAUGGCAAGGUCAUGUUACAAUCUAAUAAGCGCUUAUUUUAGGACACUAAGCUUGUCCUUAGGAAACCAUCGAUUUAUGUUGGCGAAGUGGUUUCUCUUCCAACGCUGACCUAUAUCAAGAUCAACUCAACGAGAUCUGCAAUAUUUAUUAUAGACAUAUGCAUCGACAACCGCCCUUUUAAAGUUUUUAUAAAUAGAAAGG
Molecule: long non-coding RNA, 285 nt
Filed under: Sorghum bicolor (sorghum)
Lineage: Eukaryota; Viridiplantae; Streptophyta; Magnoliopsida; Poales; Poaceae
Description: long non-coding RNA (SBIC_LNC002922)
Source: RNAcentral